UGAAAAAAAAUUUGAAAAUUUUUUUUUUAAAAAAGUUCGAAUUUGAAAAAAUAUAAUCUAAAACUAUAAAAAAAUAUUUUUUUAAUUUUUUUAUAUAUCUAGGGAAUUAGGGUCCUUUUACCUAUUAAAUGAAAUAUUUUAGUAAUUUUCUUCCUUGUGGUCUAUUUUUGUGAUCAAAAAUUGAAAAAUUAUAUAUUUAAAAGAAUUUCCCAUCAUUUAAUGGAAACCUAUUUUAUCUGAUGGCUAACUAAAAUGCUUAAUAAUGUUUUUACUUCAAAAAGUCCAGAAAUUUGAGUCCCAAAACUGCAAUUUCUCCAGAUUAAUGAAUGUAAAUUAGAAAACAUAUCCAACGUGGAACAAGAAAAAUCCUUUUAAAAAAAGUGGGACAAGAAAAAUCGGUUUUAGAAGUUCCGUUUAAAUGCGGGAUUAUUGCAAAUAUGACUUAAAACUUGAAGUCAAACAUAAAACUAACCCAUGUUUUUUUUUGGAACUUUGACUUGCCUCUUUCACCCUAAAGUUCAGAUUAUUCACGAAAAUACAUCAUUUUUUUUUUCUUUUCGAAAAUGCAUAUUUUACUCUAUCACCCUCAUCUUCCUCAAGUACUAACAAUAUUGUCAUUGCCAUCAAUACACCAACCACCAUGAACAACUAAUUUGAAGCUCUUAAUGCACCUAAAAGUUGAUUUACACUUUUUUUUUCUCAAUUAUUAUGAACUAAAAACAACAUCUCUUUCACUUUUUCUCCAUAUUCAUCCAAAAAACCCAAGGUUUUGAUUCUAAAUUUUUUAUAGUUCAUAGAGCCAUUGAAACUUACGAUUCUUGGUGGGUCACUUUUUUUUUGUUGAGAUUUUGGGUUUUUGGAGAAGAUUUAUGUGUGCUAAACAAGUUAUUUCACUGGUUGAACAAAACAUUGAUCUUUUUAAUUUUCUUAUUUUGUAUUAUCUUCUUAGAGAUUCUUAUAUAAUAGAAAUUUGUCUUAUAUUUAUCUAGGAUCGCUCUUCUUUUACAUAUAUAUAUACAGUCACCGUGUGUACUACAUUUUAAAUCUGUCUAUUUAUUAAAAAUAUAAUAGAAAAAUAUUUGCAUAUAAUUCACCAAUUAUUUUUCUGUGUUCAAUAAGAAAGAAGAACAUUAACAAUUAAUUUACAUAUAACUAGACUUGUCAAUAAAAUUAAUUUAUGUUUAUAUUAAGAACAAUUUUCUAAAAUCUAUCAAUAAAAUUAACUUUAUUUUUAACAUUUAUUUUCUUGUAAAUUUACAUACAUUGUUAAUAAUAUAUCGGUAUUAUUUUAUUGAAAAUAUGGUAUAUUAUUUUAGUAAUUUAAAAAAAUUCAAAUAAAUUGUAAGUCAAAUUUUUUUAAAAAUAGUUUAUAGAUUUAAAAAUAAAUAAAUCAUUCAUGCAAUUUUAGAAUAACAAAAAUCUAAAAUAAUUCAAAAACUAAAAAAAAAAAAGUUAAAAUUUAAAUAACCAAUCGUGUUUAUCGAAAAUCUAAAAUAUAUUGUAAAAUCAAAAACCAAAAAUAAAAACUAAAAUGUAUAAACUAGAAACUAAAAACCAAAAACCAAAAACCAAAAUCUAAAAACCAUUUAAACAAUCAUCACCUAAACAUAAUUUUGGGUGGAUCUCAAAGCACUUGCAUAUGAAAGCUAACCAUUUAUCUCGUGGCCAAAAAUGAGUUUAAUCAUGUGGUGGAAAGUCUUUUUCUUUUCUAUUGUUAAACGUAUAACGUAUAUGCAUAAUUCUGCAUUUUAAUAUGCUCUUUGUACUCAAACGGAUUUAUUUUCUUCUAAAGCGACCUAAAACCUGAAAAUAUUUGAUAUAUAACUAAAUGACUCUAAAACAUUCACUUUGACUAGAUAAAAAUUUCAAAAAAUGUUAGAAACUGGUAAAAUCCCAAUUUAUCAAAACUUUUCUUCAAUAUUAACAACCAUCUCUAUAAUUACAAUACUAAAGAUUUGAAACGUAUGAACCAUCAAUGCAUAUAUCUCAGACUCAAUCACCUAGAACGUUUAGUUGCUCCUACCAGAAAAUCUACUUGUUUAGGAAUGAAUUGCGACAAAGAAAUACCAACUAGUACACGACUUCUCAGAUCAGUUUUAAUAUAAUGGUAAGAGUUAAUAUCUCAUUUCAUAAGUGGCUGAAUGAUGUAGUGGAAACUAUGAUAACACAAAGAUAUUUCUUUAGUAUAAGAAUUUCCGAAUAAACUGAACCUUGUUAAAUUCGUUAAGAUCUUUUUAAAUCUACCGAAAACAAGAAAUAAAAAGAAAUCUCUCAAUUUUAUUAAUUGAUCAAUAACUAAAUACAAUUCUUGGAAUAAAAUACCUAUUUAUAUGAAAACCAAAUAACUUGAAAUAUCUUUAAAAUAAUUAUAACUAAUUAAGAUAAAAAUCAGAAUAAAUAAUAAUCUAGAUAAUUAAGAUAUCUAGAGUAUAUCAAAAUAUCUCUCUGCAUUACUGCAUCACUGAAGCAGAAAAUUCACUAAAUGGUAAUACUAAAUUAAUUUAAAGGUUAAUGGUUUAUAGAUUAUUAUAAAGUGGUAUUGCCCAUUAUGAAAUGAUAUUGCAAAUUGAGAUGGUAUAUUCAUAAACUAAAUAAAAUUCAUAAACUAAACUUAGAUAUAGCGUCAUAGGCGCAUAAAUUUUCCUACCAUUAUUGCUAUCCAAAUAGUGUUAACUGGUUGCUCAUCAUCCACGAACCACAGGGUGCACAAUUUCUACGGUUUCCCAUCAUUAGCAAAUAAAGUAGCUAAAUGCCUAACUUUUUGGGUGAAAAAUAUAAAAUUGUAUUAUCAAUUUUGAUUUUUGGCAGAAAAUUACAAAAAUACUAGUAGUAGAAAGAGAUGAAAAAUCUACCACAAAACAAAGUGCUAGAAGCAUAUAUACAAAUCGUUACACAAAACUAAAAGAAUAUAUAUACAGGUCAAUGUUAUUUCUUACAAAUCUAUAAAUAUAAAUUUACUGAUGAAUUUAAAAAAAAUAUAUGUUAUUUUUUUCUUUUUGAAAAUGGGAGGCAAGUCAAAAUAAUAAUAAGGUUUGUUUAGCUUUAAUUUUACUAGUGUGUGGAUUUAGUUAUAGUAAUUCUUGAUUCUUUCUAUAGUUCUAAAUUUCUACGUAGAAAUGUAAAAUUUAUUGAUCAAAAACAAAAAUUUCUGAUUAAAUCUAGCUAAUUUUAUAGCUAGUGUUCUUGUAAACAAUUGUAAUUUUUGUAACUAUUAUGAAUAAUAGUGCUCAUGAAGAAAUUAUAAGGAAUUGAUAUGUUACAUAUUAGCAAUUCUUGAUAGUUACAUGAAUUACAUAAUAUACCUAUAGAGUAUGAAGCUCAGUGACUACAUUAGAUGUUUACAUAUAUCAAGUUUACACAAGUUAACUAAUGACUAAUAUUUCGCACAACAAAAAAAAAAACUAACGACUAAUAUAUCUUUAUCCUUAAGAUGGAAGGAAUUAAGUGACUCCAAUCUUGGACAUGAUUUCUGUGAACCGUGGUCGUGCAAGAGCCUUGGUGAGAGCGCAUCCGAGUUGGUUCCUUAUGGAGACAUGUGUGAGACAUAGAGCCUCUGCUUGAACAUUAUCCAGAAUGAAGUGGUAGUCUAACACAAUGUUCUUCAUCCUUGAGUAGAAAACUGGAUUGGCAUACAUGUACGUAGCUCCAAUGUUGUCGAAGAAUAUCACUAGAGUAGUCUGUAAGGUGAUGCCAAGAUCUGUGAGAAGAGAACAUACCAAUUGAAUCUUAGAGGUAGUGUUGGCUACAUCGUGAUAUUCAGUUUCAGUGGAUGAGCGCACAACACCCCGCUAUUUCUUAGAGCUACAGGAGAUCAUAUUGGCACCUAGAUACAACACAUAAGCAUUAGGUGAUGUAUAGUCAUCAACAUUGCCUCCCAAUCUGCUUCUGAGUAGGCAUGAAGAGUCAAUGGUGUAUUUUCUCGAAUGUAUAUUCCACGAGCUGCUGUGCAUGCGCGUUUUACAGCCUGCCAACAGAGGUCCAUGGGUUUAUGCUUUGAAUUGAGACAUAUUUUUGAUAGCAUAAACUAUAUCCAGACGGGUAAAGUCAAGGUACUGAAGACUGCCAAGAACUGUCUUGAACUCUGUUGGCGAUUCAAGUGGUGUACCAGCGUUAAUUGAUAGUUUCGGAGUUGGAGAUAUAGGAGUGGACACCUGACAUGCUUGCAACAUGUUGAUGCGCGUAAGAAGAUCAUUCACAUUUUUUGCAUCAAAUGAAGUCCUUUGUUAGGUUGCCUGUAUGCCGAAAAAUAACUCAGCUCACCAGGAUCCUGAGAAACAUAUAGAAAGAUUAGAAAUAAAAGACGUUACCAGACCAGUGCUGCUACACGUAAUGAUCAUGUCAUCUACAUAUAAAAAGAUGUAUAUGAUGUACUGCCCAUGUUCUUGAUGAAGAGAGACGUUUCUGCAGCAGAAUUAACAAAUUGUUAAGUGAGAAGGUAUUGCCGUAAUUCUUGAUACCAUGAUUGUAGAGCUUGUUUCAAGCUAUAAAGUACUUUUCGUAGGUGGCAAUCAUAUUGAGAAUGAUCAUGAUCGAUGAAACCCUAAGGUUGAGUGACAUAUACCUCAUCUUUCAAAGUUGCCUGAAAAAUGCGUUAUUAAUAUCGAUUUGACAGGUAAUCCAUCUCUUGUUCAUGGUAAUGUGCAACACUGUCCGUAUUGUGGUGGACUUGAUUAAUGGCCUAAACUUAGUGUAAAACCAUGUCCAUAUAGCUGACUGAAGCCUUUCGCGACCAUUCGCACCUUGUACCUAUCAAGUUCACCGUUAGGUUUAUAUUUCAAAGUAAGACCCACUUACAGCCGAUGAUGUUUAUGUCGUCAAUUGCCGCAACUAACUCAGAAGUACUAUUGCGUAUCUGAGCAUUGAUCUCAUCGCACAUCACUUAUCGCCAAUAUGAAUUUUGUAACGCUUCUACUAAUUUUUAAGGAAAUUUUGCUUUAAGGGGAUUGGUUGAGAUGAUAAUAGAAAGUUUGUUUUUUGGUUUGGUGAUGUUAUUUUUCAAUCUGGUUCUCAUUGGAUGGUUAUUUGGCUGUGGUGGUGGUACCGGUUGUGAUGGUUGGGAAGGUUCUCUAUUUUAUGUUAGUGAAACAAGGGUAGGGAAAGAUGGUUGAGUUUCUAUUAUCGAAGAUGAAAUAUGUGGAGAUAGAGGUGGGGUUGGUCAUGAUGUCUGACCAGUUGCAGUUAUUGGUGUCGAUUGGUUUUGAAGUGUUGCAGGAGCCGCUGUUUGUGUUGCGACUGUAGACGAUGGUUGAGUUAGUGAAAUGUUGUCUUUCUGUUGCAGCUCAGGUUUGUGAGGAUCAUAGCGCGAGGGAGUUGCGGCAGAGAUGUAGCAAGUGUCCCAGUUAGUAUUGUGUUUAUAGAAGAGCCAGGGAUUCCAGUCGGUUCUGUGAUUGGUUCUAAGGUCAUUGUUGGUUUCGUCGAAGCAAAGGGGAAGCUUUCCUCUACGAACUGAACAUGUCUUGAUACAUAUAUGGCCAGUAUAUUUAUCCAAGAAUAAGUAUGCACUAUGACUUAAGGAGUAUCCGAUAAAGACACAAGAAAGAUAGUGAACAUAAAGUUUGUGACUCGUGUAAGGUUGUAGCCCCAGGAAACACAAACACCGAAAGACCCUUGGCUUGAGAUAGUUAGAUUCUUGACCAAAUAACUCGGCAUAUGGAUACUCAUUUUCCAGAACUAGUGUGAUCAUCCUGUUGAUAAGUUACAUAGCGGUAGAGAAACCAUAGCUUCAGUAGGUUCCUGGCAUCGAUGCUUGACGGAGCAAAGUGAGUCCAGUCUCAACGAGGUGAUGAUAAUUUUUUUCGAAAAAAUCAUUAUGUUUAGGACUGUGUGGAGGGGAGGUGAGAUGAGAAAUACCAUGCUGAGCUAGAUAUGACUGUAAGGCUAUAAAUUUACCACCAAUAUCGGAGUAUCGGAGUAGAGAGUUCCAAUUUAGGUUUUGAAUUUACUCUCCACUAGCGCCUUGAAUAUCACAAACAUAUCAUGGCCUUGGGACUUCUGUUUCAGCGGAUAAAUCCAAGUGUAUUGAAUGUAGAGAUCGACAAUAACCAUGUAAUAUUUGUAGUUGUCAACAAAAACAAUUACAGAGGUCCACAUGCCAGUCUAGGAGUACUGUAGUUGGUUGUUUGAGACAAUUUUGUUUGAACAAAAAAGCAUCUUGUGGUUUUAUUAAUAUAACAAUCCAACAUGAAUAGUAUUUCGGUGAAGAUAAAGAAAUGUGUAUAAAUGUUUUUUACAUGAGUGCUUUUAAAAUAGGUAAAGCUGGGUGGCCAAGAGGAAAUAUCAGUUUUUGGGAGGGUGGGGCGAAGAGGGAGGUUGGAUUGGUAAUUGACUGGCCACUCAUAGAGCUCAAUAUUGGUUUUGCCUUGUAGAAAUUGAACCCCUGUGAUAAAAUCUUUCACCUGAAAAUGGAAAAGAAAUAAUUCAACAGAAACCUUGUUAGUGUUGCACAACUGGUAAACCGAGAUCAGAUUUCACUGAACUUUAGGCACAUAUAGAAUAUCUUUUAAAUCUAGUGAACGAUUAGUAGAGAGUAAGGCAGAACCAGUACGGAUAAUCUGUAACCCAAUACCACCAGCAGUCAGAACUUUUUCACCACCGUUGUAGCCCCACUAUCCAAUAACCAUUUACCUGCAUUAUAUGGUUAAGCCGCUGCUAAAUGAGCUCGUGGUUGCCAAGGAAGAUAGAAUGAGACCGAUGACUGAGACGAGUUCCUAUAGGCAUUCAGAAUCUAAAGUUGAAAACAACAACGUGCACUAUGACCAUGAACCCCACAAAUCUGACACUUCCCGGGGUAAGGAUGUAGGUGUACUGGUGGUUUUCUUAAUUUUCAUUAUAUCAAACAAUAUUUUGGAAUAUGAAUUAGUUGCUACUUUGGCGGCUUCUCUAAAUGGCUGGAGACGAAAUUGACUCGAUCUUUUUGAGUCGAGAGGACUUUCAAGAUGGACAGCAUAUUUGUCAGUCCAUGCAACAGGUCUCUUCAUUUUCAACUGCCGGGUUAACAUAUUGGGGGAUCUAAAAGAAAUUUUAAUCAGAGGAUAUGUGAAGUUACAUUUCUGAUGGUGGUGUGACAGUGGCGUAUACAACGGCGUAAACAGUAAAGACGUAGAUGAUGGUAAAGACGACAUAGAAGGAACAUUACCCGCCAUGGAGCAGACUGUGAAAAUCAAGAAAUUCACCCACCAGGCAUUUUCAUAUGAGACACCACCAAUAAAUUAAGGUUUCUCCGCCAUAACGCCUUCAUAUGGGACACUUACAAGAAAUUCAUCCCUCUGUCGCUCCGCCACAUCGCGUCCGAUGGCAAAUAAACCUCAAAAUCUGGCCAUCUUCUCCUUCCUCCAUCAUCAACGAGCUUCGCAUAGUCACUGCUGAUUACAGAAGAAGGUUGCCACUUUCCCUAUGAAUACAUUCUCUCCAUAAGAACAAUCAAAGAUUUUGUCUUUAUGAUAAAGUUUCGAUUUUUAUGUGUUUUUUGUUAGAUAUGCUGCUUUAAGAAGGAGACUCUUGACUGAUCCACAUUUCUGAUGAGACUUGUAGUUUGAAAAUUUGUAGUUUUACUAAUAAAGCGUAGUUUUACUAAUAAAGUGUACAUGUUAAUGUUUGAAAAUUGGUGUACAGUGUGUACUUUUAUAAUUUAUUGUACAUGUGGAUAGUAAAAUCUAUGUGUACACGUCGAUGUUAUUGGAUGUACAAAUCUUACAACUUGCAAAUUAUAUUAUAGAUUUGCGUAUGUCUAUUUAAGUAAUGUUAGUAUUGCUUCAUGGCUUGAUCCUUUGAAUAAUAAUUAGUUUGUCAAAAUCUUUUUUCAAGAAAACAUGUUUAUAUCUAUGAUGGUGGUAUAAUCAUGAUGUAUACAAUGAUGACAACAUUGUGAUCGAUUCAAGCUUCAACCAUGGCGUUUAUGUCUUCUCGCGUCGCCGUUCUCUGUUAUUGUUUCAAAACCGCAGGGGAGCCUUGACCAAGCUCAAAACCGCAGGGGCGUAUAAGUGAUGUCCACAUGUACGCUGAAUUUUAACAUUAUCCAUGCGUACAAAAUAACAUGUGUACACCUAAAUCCAGUAAGAGACUGAGCUACAAAAUCAAUCGGAAAGUGAUAGAGUAUCUCAGAUAGUACGGAUGGUGGUUUUAAGUUAUCCAAAUCAUGGUCUCAUCAUGUUCCAGUAGAAGAGAUCAAGCAAAUUCAAACCUUGUCUUAUCUCUGGCGAUGUUUACUCAAAAGCCAACUUCUGAAGGAGGUUAAACCACCGUGAUGCCACCGCAUCCUUCGUCGGUUCGGUUGAAAUGUUUCACACCGUCGAGGAAAUGUAAAACUUGUGGUUGGAAACGUUUGCAGCAAGGGCUUUGUUCACAUCAACAUUGUGUUCAGGUGACGAUGGUACAAAAAGAAUCCGGCAAAUGAUUUUAGGAAGACCAUGAUGAUCACUCAGCUUCUUCAUCUUCAUCCUCUUUUGCAAUUAAAACCAUUAUUUUAUAGAUUUUCUUUUGAAAUUAAAAUUGUUUCUAGUUACAGAGAAAAAUAUAUAUUAAAAACUGUAGAAUCCAUUUAGUUUCAAGAAUGAGCUUAGAUAGCUUGUUAUUGCAAAAAAACUACCUUAAGAGCAAUAGCUGCCUUAUAAUGUAAUAAACGCAUAAACUGUCCUAUAGUGUAAACCACUUUUUUUAUUGAUAAAGUUGACACAUUUCCUGUGAGUUUAAUGAACUUCAAGAUUUUAUCACCCCCCAACCCCCCCCCCCCCCCCCUCCCCCCCCCCCUCCCCAAACCCAAUUGAUUUGUCAUGGAUGUAUGGUCGCAACGGCGAUAAACACAUGUUAUGCUCGACCAUCUAGGUAGCUAUCUGGAUCUAGAAGCACAUAUUCAAUCCUUAACACGAGAUACUUAUACUAAUGUCAUGUUUUGCGGAGCAGGAACUGGAUCAAUGCUUAUGCUUGCAUGAAAAGGUAGUGAAUAAUAAAGUAGCUUUGAUCUCAUCCAAACAUAUGCUGCGGCUAAGUUUUUUAAGUGGUGAUUCCUUUAAUGCUCUUAGAAUAAACGAGCCUUGGCCUUCUUUGUUCACGAUCAGAUCUGGUGUCCUUUUGGAAUCUUGAAUCCAGUCACAAUGAAUUUAUAAUCAAUAAACACACUAUAUGAGUAUGUAUAUAUAUUGCAUAACGAAAGUGUCCACAUAUAUUAUAGGUACAACUUUUUACCAAAAAAAAAUAAAAAAAUAUAGGUACAACCGUGGCCGAGUCAUAAGAACAAGAAAAUAGCUAUUGUGGUUUAGUUGUCCUCCACAGUUUCAAAA
Molecule: long non-coding RNA, 9275 nt
Organism: Brassica rapa (field mustard)
Lineage: Eukaryota; Viridiplantae; Streptophyta; Magnoliopsida; Brassicales; Brassicaceae
Source: RefSeq, a predicted model, not a curated record